GGGAUCAAGUACAGCCUGUCGGCGGGACAUGAUUCCUUCCGCGGUGUACGCUUAUCGAAGCCUCUGCAGCCACGCAAGUGGUAGGCCCGGGCGACUCUAAACAACCCGGUGCCGCUGCAAGUCCGCGCCCCCUCCCGGGACGUGGGCGACACUUUUGAAUUGACGGGGACACCCUAACGCCGAACGCACCAAGCCGUGCCGGGAAACCGCACGGGGGCCCAUGCGAAAGACAUGGGGGACGGUUACAGACGAUUCGGAUGACCUGCCACGGCAGCGAAAUGGGCAAUCCGCAGCGAAGCCCCUACGGCCUCCUGCCUGCGCGGCGGGAAGGCUACGGGGAACGUUCACAGACUAAGUGGAAGUGGGUGGGAUGCCGAAUCCUGCUUAAGAUAUAGUCGGGCCCCCUGGGAGACCAGGGGGGCAAGUACACUGCUCGUGCGUGUGUAAAGCUGUUCCGUAGGUGAACCUGCGGAAGGAUCAUUA
This 483-nucleotide ribosomal RNA is filed under the name Talaromyces trachyspermus. Its description in RNAcentral is "partial 18S ribosomal RNA". The stretch from base 119 to 419 matches the Rfam family "Group I catalytic intron". Rfam says of the family: Group I catalytic introns are large self-splicing ribozymes. Lineage: Eukaryota; Fungi; Ascomycota; Eurotiomycetes; Eurotiales; Trichocomaceae. The record is from RNAcentral.